UUCAGGAAACCAGUGGAUCCUCAGUAAACUGCUGAAUGCAGGGGGUGACCUUCGACUCCAUGAUGAGAAAGGUCGGAACGCAGAGGCCUGGGCUUUGGCAGCAGGAAAGGGUCGUAACACCCAGAUGGUGGAGUUCAUGCAGCGCUGCACUUCACACAUGAAGGCUAUCAUCCAAGGCUUCUCCUAUGACCUCCUAAAGAAGAUAGACUCCCCUCAGCGCCUCAUCUGCAGCCCACCCGAGUUUGGUAGCCUCAUCCAGGGGAGUCCAAAUAGUUCUCCUAACCGACAGCUGAAACCUGGAAUCAUUUCUGCCCAAAAUAUCUACAGCUUUGGC
This is a long non-coding RNA of Microtus ochrogaster (prairie vole), 334 nucleotides long. RefSeq lists it as uncharacterized. The record is from RefSeq and is a predicted model, not a curated record. Lineage: Eukaryota; Metazoa; Chordata; Mammalia; Rodentia; Cricetidae. The transcript has 3 exons.